UCUGCCGCUGGCGGAUUUUUAUGGUCUGCGAGAGGAAAGUCCGGGCAGCUUAGGGUGUCCCACUUGUGAAAAUGCAAGCUAUUGGCGACAGUAGGUUAAGGUAGAAGAAAACAACCGCCGGUGCCUUGGUGCAGGUAAGGGUGAGAAGGUGGUGUAAGAGACCACCAGCGGUCGGGUGAUCGGCCGGCUGUGCCGUCUGGGAGCUGCAAGUUCAUGUAAACCGCCGUCUGAGGGUUGCCCGCCCGAUUGACUUUGUCUUCGGCGGAGGGUAGAAUGCUUGAGCCGUGUGGUGACAUACGGAUUAGAUAAAUGGCAGACACCUUAUUAUAUAUAAGGCAACAGAACCCGGCUUAUAGGG
RNAcentral lists this RNase P RNA (358 nucleotides) under uncultured Prevotella sp. Its description in RNAcentral is "Bacterial RNase P class A". It matches the Rfam family "Bacterial RNase P class A". Rfam says of the family: Ribonuclease P (RNase P) is a ubiquitous endoribonuclease, found in archaea, bacteria and eukarya as well as chloroplasts and mitochondria. Its best characterised activity is the generation of mature 5'-ends of tRNAs by cleaving the 5'-leader elements of precursor-tRNAs. Cellular RNase Ps are ribonucleoproteins. Lineage: Bacteria; Pseudomonadati; Bacteroidota; Bacteroidia; Bacteroidales; Prevotellaceae. The record is from RNAcentral.